UUAAGCGACUAAGCGUACACGGUGGAUGCCCUGGCAGUCAGAGGCGAUGAAGGACGUGCUAAUCUGCGAAAAGCGCCGGCGAGGUGAUAUGAACCCUUGACCCGGCGAUGUCCGAAUGGGGAAACCCAGUGCAAUCCGUUGCACUAUCGUUAACUGAAUACAUAGGUUAACGAGGCGAACCGGGGGAACUGAAACAUCUAAGUACCCCGAGGAAAAGAAAUCAACCGAGAUUCCCCCAGUAGCGGCGAGCGAACGGGGAGCAGCCCGGAGUCUGAAUCAGCUUGUGUGUUAGUGGAACGGUCUGGAAAGUCCGACGGUACAGGGUGAUAGUCCCGUACACGAAAGCACACAUGCUGUGAACUCGAAGAGUAGGGCGGGACACGUGGUAUCCUGUCUGAAUAUGGGGGGACCAUCCUCCAAGGCUAAAUACUCCUGACUGACCGAUAGUGAACCAGUACCGUGAGGGAAAGGCGAAAAGAACCCCGGCGAGGGGAGUGAAAAAGAACCUGAAACCGUGUACGUACAAGCAGUGGGAGCCUCUUUAUGGGGUGACUGCGUACCUUUUGUAUAAUGGGUCAGCGACUUAUAUUCUGUAGCAAGGUUAACCGUAUAGGGGAGCCGAAGGGAAACCGAGUCUUAACUGGGCGUUAAGUUGCAGGGUAUAGACCCGAAACCCGGUGAUCUAGCCAUGGGCAGGUUGAAGGUUGGGUAACACUAACUGGAGGACCGAACCGACUAAUGUUGAAAAAUUAGCGGAUGACCUGUGGCUGGGGGUGAAAGGCCAAUCAAACCGGGAGAUAGCUGGUUCUCCCCGAAAGCUAUUUAGGUAGCGCCUCGUGAACUCAUCUUCGGGGGUAGAGCACUGUUUCGGCUAGGGGGCCAUCCCGGCUUACCAACCCGAUGCAAACUACGAAUACCGAAGAAUGUUAUCACGGGAGACACACGGCGGGUGCUAACGUCCGUCGUGAAGAGGGAAACAACCCAGACCGCCAGCUAAGGUCCCAAAGUCAUGGUUAAGUGGGAAACGAUGUGGGAAGGCACAGACAGCCAGGAUGUUGGCUUAGAAGCAGCCAUCAUUUAAAGAAAGCGUAAUAGCUCACUGGUCGAGUCGGCCUGCGCGGAAGAUGUAACGGGGCUAAACCAUGCACCGAAGCUGCGGCAGCGACGCUUAUGCGUUGUUGGGUAGGGGAGCGUUCUGUAAGCCGUUGAAGGUGUGCUGUGAGGCAUGCUGGAGGUAUCAGAAGUGCGAAUGCUGACAUAAGUAACGAUAAAGCGGGUGAAAAGCCCGCUCGCCGGAAGACCAAGGGUUCCUGUCCAACGUUAAUCGGGGCAGGGUGAGUCGACCCCUAAGGCGAGGCCGAAAGGCGUAGUCGAUGGGAAACAGGUUAAUAUUCCUGUACUUGGUGUUACUGCGAAGGGGGGACGGAGAAGGCUAUGUCAGCCGGGCGACGGUUGUCCCGGUUUAAGCAUGUAGGCGGAGGUUCCAGGUAAAUCCGGUACCUUAUUAACGCUGAGGUGUGAUGACGAGGCACUACGGUGCUGAAGUGAUAAAUGCCCUGCUUCCAGGAAAAGCCUCUAAGCAUCAGGUAACACGAAAUCGUACCCCAAACCGACACAGGUGGUCAGGUAGAGAAUACCAAGGCGCUUGAGAGAACUCGGGUGAAGGAACUAGGCAAAAUGGUGCCGUAACUUCGGGAGAAGGCACGCUGAUGUGUAGGUGAAGCCCCUGCGGGUGGAGCUGAAAUCAGUCGAAGAUACCAGCUGGCUGCAACUGUUUAUUAAAAACACAGCACUGUGCAAACACGAAAGUGGACGUAUACGGUGUGACGCCUGCCCGGUGCCGGAAGGUUAAUUGAUGGGGUUAGCGGCAACGCGAAGCUCUUGAUCGAAGCCCCGGUAAACGGCGGCCGUAACUAUAACGGUCCUAAGGUAGCGAAAUUCCUUGUCGGGUAAGUUCCGACCUGCACGAAUGGCGUAAUGAUGGCCAGGCUGUCUCCACCCGAGACUCAGUGAAAUUGAACUCGCUGUGAAGAUGCAGUGUACCCGCGGCAAGACGGAAAGACCCCGUGAACCUUUACUAUAGCUUGACACUGAACACUGGUCCUUGAUGUGUAGGAUAGGUGGGAGGCUUUGAAGCGUGGACGCCAGUCUGCGUGGAGCCAACCUUGAAAUACCACCCUUUAAUGGCUGGUGUUCUAACGUAGACCCGUAAUCCGGGUUGCGGACAGUGUCUGGUGGGUAGUUUGACUGGGGCGGUCUCCUCCCAAAGAGUAACGGAGGAGCACGAAGGUUGGCUAAUCCUGGUCGGACAUCAGGAGGUUAGUGCAAUGGCAUAAGCCAGCUUGACUGCGAGCGUGACGGCGCGAGCAGGUGCGAAAGCAGGUCAUAGUGAUCCGGUGGUUCUGAAUGGAAGGGCCAUCGCUCAACGGAUAAAAGGUACUCCGGGGAUAACAGGCUGAUACCGCCCAAGAGUUCAUAUCGACGGCGGUGUUUGGCACCUCGAUGUCGGCUCAUCACAUCCUGGGGCUGAAGUAGGUCCCAAGGGUAUGGCUGUUCGCCAUUUAAAGUGGUACGCGAGCUGGGUUUAGAACGUCGUGAGACAGUUCGGUCCCUAUCUGCCGUGGGCGCUGGAGAAUUGAGGGGGGCUGCUCCUAGUACGAGAGGACCGGAGUGGACGCAUCACUGGUGUUCGGGUUGUCAUGCCAAUGGCACUGCCCGGUAGCUAAAUGCGGAAGAGAUAAGUGCUGAAAGCAUCUAAGCACGAAACUUGCCCCGAGAUGAGUUCUCCCUGAGAC
RNAcentral lists this ribosomal RNA (2795 nucleotides) under Enterobacter hormaechei. Its description in RNAcentral is "23S ribosomal RNA". It matches the Rfam family "Bacterial large subunit ribosomal RNA". The record is from RNAcentral. Lineage: Bacteria; Pseudomonadati; Pseudomonadota; Gammaproteobacteria; Enterobacterales; Enterobacteriaceae.